GGGAAAUGAAUGUCACAACAAAGAAGUUCGAGUCUUCGACUAGGUCUACCUGCCAAAUCGCAUGGCCUACCCACUCUGCGUGAAUCGUCUUGCCGUUUAUAUUGCCAUUUUUGGGUAGACUUUUCAGAACAUUAAUGGCCGCUAUCAUCUUCAGUAACUAAUUUGAAUCCCUUCAAUUUCUGGUUUUAUUCAUUGACCUCCCCAAAUCACACACACAACGCACUAAUCUAGCUGAUUGUUUCGGUGAUACUAUCGAAGUAGGAGAUGUUAUUGACAAGGGGAGUGUCCCGUAUAUCGAGGACAUGUUACUGCCGGCGUCAAUGGACUUUCUCUUCUUUACGUAAAAACGAGCAGCAAUUGGUCCAGCAUGACAACCAAUUUCUCUCCCCCUUGCGCGCUUCUGAGGAGGUGAAUCAACUCGUUCAUUGAUUUGUAUUUGUUGAUAUUAGUGUCACACAUUUUAGGGUUGCUAUUGAUGAGAGUUGCUCGUUGAAGUUAAUUUGUAAAUUGUAAUAACUGGGUUACGGACUGAAGAGCCAUGGUUUAAAGCUGAAAUCUUUGUUGUCAUUAUUAAUUUUUUUAACCCGAAAGUCCAUAUGUAAGUAAAAUUAUUAAAAGGUAAUAUUGACAUUAAAUUUGUAUAACUAGACAGUUAUAAUCUCUAAUUUGGAGAUUUAUAGCGGAGGAUCAUUUACAAGUUAUUCAAGUUUGUUCUUUCUUCAUCCACACGUUUUUAGGAUCCUAUACUGUGUUUGUCUUGUUCUAGAAUCUAGACUAUUAAUAUUCGGAGCUUGGUGAUUUAAUAAAACAGGGUUAUAGGAAUUGCAAAGCUUGCCGAUUGCUUCGGGUGGUCUGCAUUAGGUUACAUAUCAGGGCUAUAUGUUGACAAUAGGGUACCAAGUAUCAAGAAAUGGUAAAAUGUUCCUGGUCAUAAAAGACGUGACUUGUCUUGUUAUUUGUUGGAAGGGAUGAAUUAAAGGAAUUUUGGUUGUCAAUUCAUCAGCAGCGCUGAAGGGUUUAAAAUUGGUUACUACUUGUGACGGCGGUCAAACACUUUGAAGAUUAC
This 1066-nucleotide long non-coding RNA is filed under the name Olea europaea subsp. europaea. The record is from RNAcentral. Lineage: Eukaryota; Viridiplantae; Streptophyta; Magnoliopsida; Lamiales; Oleaceae.